AUGAACGCUGGCGGCGUGCCUAAUCCAUGCCAGUCGCGCGAACAGACGAGGAGCUUACUCCUCUGACGUUAGCGGCGGACGGGUGAGUAACACGUGGAUAACCUACCUAUAAGACUGGGAUAACUUCGGGAAACCGGAGCUAAUACCGGAUAACAUGUUGAACCGCAUGGUUCAACAGUGAAAGACGGUCUUGCUGUCACUUAUAGAUGGAUCCGCGUCGCAUUAGCUAGUUGGUAAGGUAACGGCUUACCAAGGCAACGAUGCGUAGCCGACCUGAGAGGGUGAUCGGCCACACUGGAACUGAGACACGGUCCAGACUCCUACGGGAGGCAGCAGUAGGGAAUCUUCCGCAAUGGGCGAAAGCCUGACGGAGCAACGCCGCGUGAGUGAAGAAGGUCUUCGGAUCGUAAAACUCUGUUAUUAGGGAAGAACAAAUGUGUAAGUAACUAUGCACGUCUUGACGGUACCUAAUCAGAAAGCCACGGCUAACUACGUG
Molecule: ribosomal RNA, 496 nt
Filed under: uncultured bacterium
Lineage: Bacteria
Description: partial 16S ribosomal RNA
Rfam family: Bacterial small subunit ribosomal RNA
Source: RNAcentral